AAUUAAUGAGCUUGAAUAAGCAUAUGUUUUGAAAACAUAAGAAAAAGAUUUUAUCCUUUAUUAAUUU
RNAcentral lists this transfer RNA (67 nucleotides) under Osmylus atomatus. Its description in RNAcentral is "tRNA-Ser". Lineage: Eukaryota; Metazoa; Arthropoda; Insecta; Neuroptera; Osmylidae. The record is from RNAcentral.